Molecule: long non-coding RNA, 1684 nt
Organism: Camelus dromedarius (Arabian camel)
Lineage: Eukaryota; Metazoa; Chordata; Mammalia; Artiodactyla; Camelidae
Exons: 3
Source: RefSeq, a predicted model, not a curated record
CAUUCUGCCCUAGUCUCCAGGCACACCUAGAGCUCUGGAGAUACCUCAGGUCUUAACGAUGGUCCCCUGAAAGAGUGCAUGGAGGACAGCAGUCCUUAGUAGAACGGACUUGCUCAUGAACACGUCAGGCACUUACUGGAACUUCCAGAAAUAUUUGGGGCUUAGACCUGUGUGAACAGAUGAGAUGAGAGUCAGUAAAUCAGGGCUUGUUUCCAUUUGCAUCCAGCUGGGUUCCUAAAGGAAGUUUGGUUUCAUUUAGAAUAGGAAGCAUUUAUCAUGCAAACAAUAUAACAAAUGCCACAUGAACUUGAAUCAUAUGAACUUCAGUUCCACAGAAAAGCCACAUAAAGACAAAUAGCGAGAAAGAAUGGGAGAGAAAAAUAAAAAUGAUGAGGGAGGAAGGAAAGGAAGAUAAAAAGGAAAAAGAUUAAAGAGCCACUGAUGAAGAAAAUGGCGCCAGAGAAGGUAGGUAAAUAAGAAAGGGGGAAUUAGAAAAGAAAAAAGAAAGGGUGAAUUAAUUGAAGAAAGAGAAAAAAGGAAGGCUAAAAUGAAGGAGAGAAGAGACAGGAAAUCAGGGAAAAGCAGAAAGGAAUGAUGAGGGAGAGAAUCUGGUAGUAGAAAAAGAAAAUUCAAACAGGGGAUUGGUUGCAAUACAAUCAUAUCAUUUGAGAACUCAAGAGUAUUUAGCAACGCUCCCUCUACCACACAUCACACCAUCUCCUGAAUUCUAGGUCCCCCCACUUGGUCCUAUUUUUUUCCUCCAUAAUAGUUACCACCUUCUAGUAUGCUCUAUAACCCACCCAGGACUGCUUAUUUUCUCUCCCUGCCUCCUCCCUUGUGCUAAAACAGAAGCUCCACCAGGGAAGGGAUCUUUGUUUUAUUCCUGGACAGAUUCCAAGCUCUAGAAGAGUGAGGAGUACCAGGAGCACAGCAGAUGACUGGUACUGUUGGAAAACUGAAUUCAGCUGCAGUGAUGCUGAGUAAAGGCAGCAUGGUUUGAGGACGGCAGUCACCUGAGUAAACAAGACAUCCAGUUUCCUGGGCCUUCGGCCCCCUUCCUAUGGCCUACCACAACUCACCUGCCCGUCUGCCUGCUCUCCCUGCAGGUCUCCAGAAAAGCAGCUGGGGAUUCACCUGGAUGCUCACAGAGCUCCAAGGAGCUGAAGGCCCUUCUAGACUCUGCACUCAUUUUGCAUCUGCUAAGGAUCCUUUAACUCAUUCCUCCAAGCCUGUAUCAUAUACGGGCAUCCUGCUAUACCCUGGCACAGAAGUAUUCAGGUGAAGAGAGGUCUGGACCAUUGGAACACACUUGUGUGCCCACGACCUUUCUCCGAGCUGGCACCUUGAUUCCAAGGACGUAACCAUACAACACGCCACAACUGCUGCAUUGAUCCCAAGGACAUAUCCUGAUAUCUCUUUCUUUGCUCUCUUCCAUCUGCCAAAGUUUUUGGGCUGAGCUCCAUGGGAGGAAAGAGCCAGUAACAGAAAAUGAUUGGCACCACCUGAGUGAUGGUCACGAUGGCAAAGCUGCCCAAUAAAAGGCCCCGUGGCCGGAUGGGGGCUGGAGCUGUCUCAUCUAGCUCCCUUGCUGACGGCUCCUGCUCAAGUGUUUUUUUCUUUUUCUUUUUUUUUUUUUUUUUUGCCUUCCCCCCACCUUCUCUCUCUGAUCAAUAAAGCAGGUCUU